Molecule: ribosomal RNA, 500 nt
Filed under: uncultured bacterium
Lineage: Bacteria
Description: partial 16S ribosomal RNA
Rfam family: Bacterial small subunit ribosomal RNA
Source: RNAcentral
AUUGAACGCUGGCGGAAUGCUUUACACAUGCAAGUCGAACGGCAGCACGGACUUCGGUCUGGUGGCGAGUGGCGAACGGGUGAGUAAUGUAUCGGAACGUGCCCAGUCGUGGGGGAUAACGUAGUGAAAAUUACGCUAAUACCGCAUACGAUCUAUGGAUGAAAGCGGGGGAUCGCAAGACCUCGCGCGAUUGGAGCGGCCGAUAUCAGAUUAGGUAGUUGGGGGGGUAAAGGCCCACCAAGCCAACGAUCUGUAGCUGGUCUGAGAGGACGACCAGCCACACUGGAACUGCAACACGGUCCAGACUCCUACGGGAGGCAGCAUUGGUUAAUUGUGGACAAUGGGCGAAAGCCUGAUCCAGCCAUUCCGCGUGCAGUAUGAAGGCCCUCGGGUUGUAAACUGCUUUUGUACAGAACGAAAAGGUUUCUACUAAUACUAGGAGCUCAUGACGGUACUGUAAGAAUAAGCACCGGCUAACUACGUGCCAGCCGCCGCCGUAA